UACGAAGGGUGCAAGCGUUACUCGGAAUUACUGGGCGUAAAGCGUGCGUAGGUGGUGAGUUAAGUCUGUCGUGAAAGCCCCGGGCUCAACCUGGGAAUGGCGAUGGAUACUGGCUCGCUAGAGUGCGGUAGAGGAGAGUGGAAUUCCCGGUGUAGCGGUGAAAUGCGUAGAGAUCGGGAGGAACACCGAUGGCGAAGGCAGCCCCCUGGGCUAACACUGACGCUCAGGCACGAAAGCGUGGGGAGC
Molecule: ribosomal RNA, 246 nt
Filed under: uncultured bacterium
Lineage: Bacteria
Description: partial 16S ribosomal RNA
Rfam family: Bacterial small subunit ribosomal RNA
Source: RNAcentral